GGAAUAGAGGGAGCGUCGUUAAUGGCGUAAAUCUCUAAUGGAGAAGUAGAGGAACAACGAUGAGGCGAGAAAUCGUUUCAGUUGCCAUUUUUCCCAUUGGCGAUUCGAUUGUUGCUCGUCCACAC
Small nucleolar RNA from Elaeis guineensis (African oil palm), 125 nucleotides. RefSeq annotates it as small nucleolar RNA snoR111. NCBI's taxonomy places the organism in Eukaryota, Viridiplantae, Streptophyta, Magnoliopsida, Arecales, Arecaceae. The record is from RefSeq and is a predicted model, not a curated record.